This 497-nucleotide ribosomal RNA is filed under the name uncultured bacterium. RNAcentral's name for it is "partial 16S ribosomal RNA". It matches the Rfam family "Bacterial small subunit ribosomal RNA", at positions 28 to 507 of the family's 1533-position model. The record is from RNAcentral.
GAUGAACGCUGGCGGCGUGCCUAAUACAUGCAAGUCGAGCGAACAGACGAGGAGCUUGCUCCUCUGACGUUAGCGGCGGACGGGUGAGUAACACGUGGAUAACCUACCUAUAAGACUGGGAUAACUUCGGGAAACCGGAGCUAAUACCGGAUAAUAUAUUGAACCGCAUGGUUCAAUAGUGAAAGACGGUUUUGCUGUCACUUAUAGAUGGAUCCGCGCCGCAUUAGCUAGUUGGUAAGGUAACGGCUUACCAAGGCAACGAUGCGUAGCCGACCUGUGAGGGUGAUCGGCCACACUGGAACUGAGACACGGUCAAGACUCCUACGGGAGGCAGCAGUAGGGAAUCUGCCGCAAUGGGCGAAAGCUUGACGGAGCAACGCCGCGUGAGUGAUGAAGGUCUUCGGAUCGUAAAACUCUGUUAUUAGGGAAGAACAAAUGUGUAAGUAACUAUGCACGUCUUGACGGUACCUAAUCAGAAAGCCACGGCUAACUACGUG